AUACGUAGGGGGCAAGCGUUAUCCGGAUUUACUGGGUGUAAAGGGAGCGUAGACGGUAAAGCAAGUCUGAAGUGAAAGCUCGGGGCUCAACCCCGGAACUGCUUUGGAAACUGUUUUACUGGAGUGCAGGAGAGGUAAGCGGAAUUCCUAGUGUAGCGGUGAAAUGCGUAGAUAUUAGGAGGAACACCAGAGGCGAAGGCGGCUUACUGGACUGUAACUGACGUUGAGGCUCGAAGGCGUGGGGAGCAAACAGGAUUAGAUACCCUGGUAGUCCACGCGGUAAACGAUGAUCACUAGGUGUCGGCGGCCAUAGGCGGUCGGUGCCGCAGCAAACGCAAUAAGUGAUCCACCUGGGGAGUACGUUCGCAAGAAUGAAACUCAAAGGAAUUGGCGGGG
Molecule: ribosomal RNA, 396 nt
Filed under: uncultured bacterium
Lineage: Bacteria
Description: partial 16S ribosomal RNA
Rfam family: Bacterial small subunit ribosomal RNA
Source: RNAcentral